GACGAACGCUGGCGGCGUGCUUAACACAUGCAAGUCGAGCGGAAAGGCCCUUCGGGGUACUCGAGCGGCGAACGGGUGAGUAACACGUGAGUAACCUGCCCUUGGCUCUGGGAUAGCUCCGGGAAACCGGAAUUAAUACCGGAUAUGACCUCGGCCGACAUCGGCUGUGGUGGAAAGAUUUAUCGGCCAGGGAUGGGCUCGCGGCCUAUCAGCUAGUUGGUGGGGUAACGCCUACCAAGGCGACGACGGUAGCCGGCCUGAGAGGGCGACCGGCCACACUGGGACUGAGACACGGCCCAGACUCCUACGGGAGGCAGCAGUGGGGAAGAUUGCGCAAUGGGCGAAAGCCUGACGCAGCGACGCCGCGUGGGGA
This 373-nucleotide ribosomal RNA is filed under the name uncultured bacterium. RNAcentral describes it as "bacterial SSU rRNA". It matches the Rfam family "Bacterial small subunit ribosomal RNA", at positions 28 to 407 of the family's 1533-position model. The record is from RNAcentral.